GCGGUACUGGCCUUCGACCUGCGGUUCCUGGUUACGCGGAAAUUUUGGAGACCCUGGAGCCGCGGUCUGAAUCACAUCACCUCCGAGCAGGAGGCCCGUGUUGAGAACUGUGUUCUACCGUCUUCUUUUACGUUGGUUUUUAGACCAACCCACUCAACCUCCAGCUCCCGAGGUCAGGAACCGUUUCUGUCCUUCCCAUUCUUGACUCCUCCGUGCUUCUGUGGCUGGUGCAUCAGCUGCGUCCGGGCCGAGGGCUCAAACGACAGUGGCUUCACCCUCAAACCACAGCGGCUUCACCCUCCAGGAGCCGCUCCCCUUCAGUGAACAGGAUGGACACGGGUAGCCAUCGCUGGCAGGUGUGCAGGAGCCCAGCCUCUUUCUGAGCAGUGGCUUUGCUGUUGGAGCGUGAGGGCGUUCACAGUGACUUGCAGGAUGGCUAGAGGGGGUCGGCCAGCUGCACAUCCCACUGUAACCAGGCUGCUGUCCACGGCUACAUCUGCUGAAAGAACUGUGAACGUGAGCUAAGCUGGGCACCGCACGGCUGUGGAGAGGGGAAGUGGCACCGGCAACCCCCGCAGCAGAGGCUUCAGUGCCCAGCAGGUCGGGGGAGUUGUCAGAUGGGAGGAGCCGCGGAGCUCCUCCUGAGGGCCGGCUGGGCCCACACGUGGUUCGCUUUGCGCUUUAAACAUUAGAAGAGCGAGUCCUUUGUCCCAGCCCCGGCUGCUGCGCAGCAACAGGAAUGCCUAGCAACAGAAACACCGACAUCUCACAACUGUUGGGUGCGGAGGCCGGGGCAGACAGAGGGAGGCAGGGAGGCUGGGGCCAGUGUUCCCAGGUCACUCGUGGUCCCUGCUGCUGUGCCUUGUGGAAGGCAGGCCUCUCUGCUGCCACUUCUUGGCUGCCCCAAGGGCAAGCACACGCACAGGCUCCUCUGUUUCAAGGGUUUAUGGGGAAAUGGAGAAAGGGAGAGGGGAGCAAUUAGGAAGAAGACUCUCUGGUCCUGUCCCUCAGCAGUCAUGAUGCUGUGGUCACCGGGGCCUCCACUCUUUCUCAAGGAAGGUUCUCAGCACAUUGCUGUCUUCCAGGGGCCUGGCCAGGAUCUGCCUCUGUGGCCUCACUCUUCUUCUGGGUCCUGCCCCCGUUGGGAAGGCAGAGCCUCCACCCUGGGCUCAGGCUGGCUGCCUUGAUUCCACCCUCCUGGGACCUGCAGGCCUCCCACGAGAUGCCUCCUCCAACCUUGGCCAUGAUCAGUGCCGACGCCCAGCACUGCCUCAGCAGGAGUACAGAGCCCAUGGACACCAGGUGCAGGAGCACGGAGCCCGCGCAUGUCGGGUGAAGGAGCACAG
Molecule: long non-coding RNA, 1346 nt
Filed under: Homo sapiens (human)
Lineage: Eukaryota; Metazoa; Chordata; Mammalia; Primates; Hominidae
Description: HSALNT0132078
Source: RNAcentral